GGUGGGGUUCCCGAGCGGCCAAAGGGAGCAGACUGUAANNCAUCGACUUCGAAGGUUCGAAUCCUUCCCCCACCACCA
Molecule: transfer RNA, 78 nt
Filed under: Klebsiella pneumoniae
Lineage: Bacteria; Pseudomonadati; Pseudomonadota; Gammaproteobacteria; Enterobacterales; Enterobacteriaceae
Description: tRNA-Tyr
Rfam family: tRNA
About the family: Transfer RNA (tRNA) molecules are approximately 80 nucleotides in length. Their secondary structure includes four short double-helical elements and three loops (D, anti-codon, and T loops).
Source: RNAcentral